UUCGCUUCUCGGCCUUUUGGCUAAGAUCAAGUGUAGUAUCUGUUCUUAUCAGUUUAAUAUCUGAUACGUCCUCGAUGAGAGGACUUUAUAUUAAACGGAUUUUUGGGGCUGGGAGUUGGACGCGGAGCUUGUAUUUUUUUCUCCCCAGGUUGGACUCGAUGAUCUUAACACU
This 172-nucleotide small nuclear RNA is filed under the name Gavia stellata (red-throated loon). Its description in RNAcentral is "U2 spliceosomal RNA". It matches the Rfam family "U2 spliceosomal RNA". From Rfam's summary of the family: U2 is a small nuclear RNA (snRNA) component of the spliceosome (involved in pre-mRNA splicing). Complementary binding between U2 snRNA (in an area lying towards the 5' end but 3' to hairpin I) and the branchpoint sequence (BPS) of the intron results the bulging out of an unpaired adenosine, on the BPS, which initiates a nucleophilic attack at the intronic 5' splice site, thus starting the first of two transesterification reactions that mediate splicing. Lineage: Eukaryota; Metazoa; Chordata; Aves; Gaviiformes; Gaviidae. The record is from Rfam by way of RNAcentral.